This 1156-nucleotide ribosomal RNA is filed under the name Escherichia coli. Its description in RNAcentral is "partial 23S ribosomal RNA". It matches the Rfam family "Bacterial large subunit ribosomal RNA", at positions 1292 to 2431 of the family's 2925-position model. Lineage: Bacteria; Pseudomonadati; Pseudomonadota; Gammaproteobacteria; Enterobacterales; Enterobacteriaceae. The record is from RNAcentral.
GAAUGCUGACAUAAGUAACGAUAAAGCGGGUGAAAAGCCCGCUCGCCGGAAGACCAAGGGUUCCUGUCCAACGUUAAUCGGGGCAGGGUGAGUCGACCCCUAAGGCGAGGCCGAAAGGCGUAGUCGAUGGGAAACAGGUUAAUAUUCCUGUACUUGGUGUUACUGCGAAGGGGGGACGGAGAAGGCUAUGUUGGCCGGGCGACGGUUGUCCCGGUUUAAGCGUGUAGGCUGAUUUUCCAGGCAAAUCCGGAAAAUCAAGGCUGAGGCGUGAUGACGAGGCACUACGGUGCUGAAGCAACAAAUGCCCUGCUUCCAGGAAAAGCCUCUAAGCAUCAGGUAACAUCAAAUCGUACCCCAAACCGACACAGGUGGUCAGGUAGAGAAUACCAAGGCGCUUGAGAGAACUCGGGUGAAGGAACUAGGCAAAAUGGUGCCGUAACUUCGGGAGAAGGCACGCUGAUAUGUAGGUGAAGCGACUUGCUCGUGGAGCUGAAAUCAGUCGAAGAUACCAGCUGGCUGCAACUGUUUAUUAAAAACACAGCACUGUGCAAACACGAAAGUGGACGUAUACGGUGUGACGCCUGCCCGGUGCCGGAAGGUUAAUUGAUGGGGUUAGCGGUAACGCGAAGCUCUUGAUCGAAGCCCCGGUAAACGGCGGCCGUAACUAUAACGGUCCUAAGGUAGCGAAAUUCCUUGUCGGGUAAGUUCCGACCUGCACGAAUGGCGUAAUGAUGGCCAGGCUGUCUCCACCCGAGACUCAGUGAAAUUGAACUCGCUGUGAAGAUGCAGUGUACCCGCGGCAAGACGGAAAGACCCCGUGAACCUUUACUAUAGCUUGACACUGAACAUUGAGCCUUGAUGUGUAGGAUAGGUGGGAGGCUUUGAAGUGUGGACGCCAGUCUGCAUGGAGCCGACCUUGAAAUACCACCCUUUAAUGUUUGAUGUUCUAACGUUGGCCCGUUAUCCGGGUUGCGGACAGUGUCUGGUGGGUAGUUUGACUGGGGCGGUCUCCUCCUAAAGAGUAACGGAGGAGCACGAAGGUUGGCUAAUCCUGGUCGGACAUCAGGAGGUUAGUGCAAUGGCAUAAGCCAGCUUGACUGCGAGCGUGACGGCGCGAGCAGGUGCGAAAGCAGGUCAUAGUGAUCCGGUGGUUCUG